CCUACGGGAGGCAGCAGUGAGGAAUAUUGGUCAAUGGACGCGAGUCUGAACCAGCCAUGUCGCGUGCAGGAUGACGGCCCUAUGAGUUGUAAACUUCUUUUAUACGAGGGUAAACGCAGAUACGUGUGUCUGUCUGAAAGUAUCUUACGAAUAAGGAUCGGCUAACUCCGUGCCAGCAGCCGCGGUAAUACGGAGGAUUCGAGCGUUAUCCGGAUUUAUUGGGUUUAAAGGGUGCGUAGGCGGUCGGAUAAGUUAGUGGUGAAAUAUCGAGGCUCAACUUGGGAAUUGCAAUUGAUACUGGCAGUCUAGAGAGUAGUUGAGGUAGGCGGAAUGUAUGGUGUAGCGGUGAAAUGCUUAGAGAUCAUACAGAACACCGAUUGCGAAGGCAGCUUACCAAGCUACCACUGACGUUGAGGCACGAAAGCGUGGGGAGCAAACAGGAUUAGAUACCCUGGUAGUC
Molecule: ribosomal RNA, 460 nt
Filed under: uncultured bacterium
Lineage: Bacteria
Description: partial 16S ribosomal RNA
Rfam family: Bacterial small subunit ribosomal RNA
Source: RNAcentral